GCCUUCCUGGUGUAGUGGUCAGCACGCUCGACGCGUAACCGAGAGGUCCGUGGUUCGAUUCCCGGCGAAGGCG
Molecule: non-coding RNA, 73 nt
Organism: Stegodyphus mimosarum
Lineage: Eukaryota; Metazoa; Arthropoda; Arachnida; Araneae; Eresidae
Source: Rfam